Molecule: long non-coding RNA, 531 nt
Organism: Symsagittifera roscoffensis
Lineage: Eukaryota; Metazoa; Xenacoelomorpha; Acoela; Convolutidae
Exons: 3
Source: RefSeq, a predicted model, not a curated record
UAAAUUGUCACCAAUAAAUGAAGUUUCAUUCAAUUUUAAAUGUGAUAUUAGCUAUUUGUUUAUCGAAAACAGUCUCUAUUGAUUUCGAAUUACCCCUCAAUGGUCAUGGACUUGGCUCAGAUGAUCGCAAUAUAUCUAUGGUUAAUGGAAGAAUUGUGGACAUAAUCCAUGGAUUCAACAGUCCCCCUCGGUUGUUCUACGUGAGACUGAAACGGAUAUCUGGGUUUUGUGGGGGGACAAUUAUUAGCGCCCGAUGGGUACUGACUUCAGGCCACUGUGUUUUUCAGCUAAGGCUUUCAGCUGGUGCGUUUCGGGUGCAAGUGCAAGACUUCUCAGACACUGAAGCAAAUCCAGAAGAAAAAGAGGUCAUAAAAGUCAUUCUUCAUCCUGGCUUUCGUGUUUAUAACUGGGCUCCUAAUUACGACUUAGCUUUGCUUAAGCUUCGUACACCAGUAGACGAGAAAAGAGUGAUCCAAAUGUGUCUUUCGGAUCAAUUGAACGAGGGACCCUUGGUGACGAUUCUUGGCUCCU